This 253-nucleotide ribosomal RNA is filed under the name uncultured bacterium. Its description in RNAcentral is "partial 16S ribosomal RNA". It matches the Rfam family "Bacterial small subunit ribosomal RNA", at positions 524 to 776 of the family's 1533-position model. The record is from RNAcentral.
GACAGAGGUCCCGAGCGUUAGGCGGAAUCACUGGGCUUAAAGCGUGUGUAGGCGGCGGCCUAAGUACCUUGUGAAAUCCCACGGCUCACCCGUGGAACUGCUCGGUAUACUGGGUCGCUUGAGCCACUUAGGGGCUACCGGAACAAAUGGUGGAGCGGUGAAAUGCGUAGAUAUCCUGAGGAACACCGGUGGCGAAAGCGGCGCGCUGGAUCCCUUCUGACGCUGAGGCGCGAAAGCCAGGGGAGCAAACGGG